Gossypium arboreum is the source of this 864-nucleotide long non-coding RNA. RefSeq lists it as uncharacterized. Lineage: Eukaryota; Viridiplantae; Streptophyta; Magnoliopsida; Malvales; Malvaceae. The transcript is spliced from 2 exons. The record is from RefSeq and is a predicted model, not a curated record.
CAAGAUAAAUUGGACGCGAUUGACCAUACAUGCGAAAAGGGAGGGUCUGACGCGGAAAUAACCCUCAAGAACCCAGGUAUAGGGCUUGCCAAACAGUGUCGCUUCAAAGCCAAUGAACUUGGCUUGAAACGUCGUCGCUUUAUGCACCCUCACAGACCAAAAACAAAACCCUAAAUGGGACUCCUUCCCCUUUCUUUUUUUUUCAAAAAACCAAAGUAAACAAACAAACAAAAAAAACAAAAGCCUAUUGCUCCCAUUCGGCCGACCCCAGGAUCCGCGCAGUCCAACCGCCACCACUGCGAACGGUGGAGAACCACAUGCGUGCCCCUCGCCUAGAACCUCGGCUUAAAGACCACCGAUUUCAGCCCUAGAAAUCCCACCCCAAGCUUCGAUUUCGGUGAAGUGGAGAGGGAUUUCAAUGGCCCAUUCGUACAGGUACGGAGCAGAGGACAUGUGCUGGCCCUUGGCGCGAGGCGUACGGGGCUAUGCUGGCGCAGGUACGGGGGCUGCACUGGAGGGUACGGAGGUAGCUGGCGUGAGGGCUGGGGCUUGGCUGCCUGGUUGCGGUGCAAAAGUGGGGAAGAAACCUUAGGGUUUCUGUCCUCUAAACAAUGGGCUUAUCGGGCUUGUGGUUUGGGUCUAUGUUUAGUUAUUGGGCUUGUUUGGGACUUGGGUUAUGUAGUUGGGUUUGGGUCUGUUAUAAACCUGGACUAUUGUAUUGGUUUGGUUUAAUUUUUUUAUUUUUUAUUAUUUAUUUAUUUUGUAUAUAUUUUGGUUUCUAGUGGGCCCGAGCAAAUUUGGCCCACUACAAACACCAUUAAAACUCAUUCAAAUAAACUUUAUAAUCAUCUCUAACCCAGAUAA